This 492-nucleotide ribosomal RNA is filed under the name uncultured bacterium. RNAcentral describes it as "partial 16S ribosomal RNA". It matches the Rfam family "Bacterial small subunit ribosomal RNA", at positions 29 to 507 of the family's 1533-position model. The record is from RNAcentral.
AGUGAACGCUGGCGGUAGGCCUAACACAUGCCAGUCGAACGGCAGCACAGUAAGAGCUUGCUCUUACGGGUGGCGAGUGGCGGACGGGUGAGGAAUACAUCGGAAUCUACUUUUUCGUGGGGGAUAACGUAGGGAAACUUACGCUAAUACCGCAUACGACCUACGGGUGAGAGCAGGGGAUCUUCGGACCUUGCGCGAUUGAAUGAGCCGAUGUCGGAUUAGCUAGUUGGCGGGGUAAAGGCCCACCAAGGCGACGAUCCGUAGCUGGUCUGAGAGGAUGAUCAGCCACACUGGAACUGAGACACGGUCCAGACUCCUACGGGAGGCAGCAGUGGGGAAUAUUGGACAAUGGGCGCAAGCCUGAUCCAGCCAUACCGCGUGGGUGAAGAAGGCCUUCGGGUUGUAAAGCCCUUUUGUUGGGAAAGAAAAGCAGCAGGAUAAUACCCCGCUGUUCUGACGGUACCCAAAGAAUAAGCACCGGCUAACUUCGUG